GGAAACGGCAUUAUGUGCUUGCACAUUUUGGACGUCGACCGGCGCACGGGUGAGUAUCGCGUAUCCAACCUGCCCUUUACUUGGGGAUACCCCGUUGAAAGACGGCCUAAUACCCGAUGUAAUUCAUUGAUGGCAUCAGAUAUGAAUAAAAGAUUUAUCGGUAAGGGAUGGGGAUGCGUCUGAUUAGCUUGUUGGUGAGGUAAAGGCUCACCAAGGCGACGAUCAGUAGGGGUUCUGAGAGGAAGGUCCCCCACAUUGGAACUGAGACACGGUCCAAACUCCUACGGGAGGCAGCAGUGAGGAAUAUUGGUCAAUGGGCGCAAGCCUGAACCAGCCAAGUAGCGUGCAGGAAGACGGCCCUAUGGGUUGUAAACUGCUUUUAUACGAGAAUAAUUUGAUGCACGUGUGCGUUAUUGCAUGUAUCGUAUGAAUAAGGACCGGCUAAUUCCGUGCCAGCAGCCGCGGUAAUACGGAAGGUCCAGGCGUUAUCCGGAUUUAUUGGGUUUAAAGGGAGUGUAGGCGGUUUGUUAAGCGUGUUGUGAAAUUUAGGUGCUCAACAUUUAACUUGCAGCGCGAACUGGCGAACUUGAGUGCACACAACGUAUGCGGAAUUCAUGGUGUAGCGGUGAAAUGCUUAGAUAUCAUGAAGAACUCCGAUUGCGAAGGCAGCAUACGGGAGUGUAACUGACGCUUAAGCUCGAAGGUGCGGGUGUCGAACAGGAUUAGAUACCCUGGUAGUCCGCACAGUAAACGAUGGAUGCCCGCUGUUAGCGCCUGGCGUUAGC
This 785-nucleotide ribosomal RNA is filed under the name uncultured Bacteroidota bacterium. RNAcentral's name for it is "bacterial SSU rRNA". It matches the Rfam family "Bacterial small subunit ribosomal RNA", at positions 67 to 844 of the family's 1533-position model. Lineage: Bacteria; Pseudomonadati; Bacteroidota. The record is from RNAcentral.